AGCGAACGCUGGCGGCAGGUCUUAGGCAUGCAAGUCGAACGGGUGUAGUAAUACACCAGUGGCGAACGAGUGAGUAACGCGUGGGAAUCUGCCCAUCUCUGGGGAAUAACGUUUGGAAACGAACGCUAAUACCGCAUACGCCCGCAAGGGGAAAGAUUUAUCGGAGAUGGAUGAGCCCGCGUUGGAUUAGUUAGUUGGUGGGGUAACGGCCUACCAAGGCGAUGAUCCAUAGCUGGUCUGAGAGGACGAUCAGCCACGCUGGAACUGAGAUACGGUCCAGACUCAUACGGGAGGCAGCAGUGAGGAAUCUUCCGCAAUGGGCGAAAGCCUGACGGAGCGACACCGCGUGAAGGAUGAAGUCUUUUUUAGAUGUAAACUUCUGUUCUGAGGGACGAAAUUUUUGACGGUACCUCAGGAGAAAGCAUCGGCUAACCCUGUGCCAGCAGCCGCCGUAA
Molecule: ribosomal RNA, 455 nt
Filed under: uncultured bacterium
Lineage: Bacteria
Description: partial 16S ribosomal RNA
Rfam family: Bacterial small subunit ribosomal RNA
Source: RNAcentral